UACGUAGGGGGCAAGCGUUGUCCGGAUUUAUUGGGCGUAAAGAGCGUGUAGGCGGCCAUACAGGUCCGUUGUGAAAACUCGAGGCUUAACCUCGAGACGUCGAUGGAAACCGUAUGGCUAGAGUCCGGAAGAGGAGAGUGGAAUUCCUGGUGUAGCGGUGAAAUGCGCAGAUAUCAGGAAGAACACCCGUGGCGAAGGCGGCUCUCUGGGACGGUACUGACGCUGAGACGCGAAAGCGUGGGGAGCGAACAGG
RNAcentral lists this ribosomal RNA (253 nucleotides) under uncultured bacterium. RNAcentral's name for it is "partial 16S ribosomal RNA". It matches the Rfam family "Bacterial small subunit ribosomal RNA", at positions 524 to 776 of the family's 1533-position model. The record is from RNAcentral.